UUUUGCCCCGAUUUGAACCGCGCGAUCGCGAUCAAACAGCUCUGGUCGCUGGGCAGAGUUAGGUAGUCUUAUGUGGGAUGUGUAAACUAGUUGGGAUGAGAAGAGAGAGAGGUGGCAGCCCAUGACACAAGUUUGUAAAAUCAAAAAAACGUCCCACGAAUAAACCGAUGACGGUGUCGCUACGGUUGACCGUUCGGGUAUCAAACGGACUCCGAUUGCGACGAAAUUUGGCAGGAGGCCUAUCUACAAUAAAAUAAGACCGCACUUCAACUUUCGACCCGAUCCGA
This 287-nucleotide long non-coding RNA is filed under the name Hordeum vulgare. Its description in RNAcentral is "long non-coding RNA (HVUL_LNC018042)". Lineage: Eukaryota; Viridiplantae; Streptophyta; Magnoliopsida; Poales; Poaceae. The record is from RNAcentral.